AGACCGACCGGAUACACGGGUAGGGCUUCCGCUUUACCCGUCUCCCUCCUGGCGCUUGUCCUCCUCUCCCAGUCGGCACCACAGCGGUGGCUGCCGGGCGUGGUGUCGGUGGGUCGGUUGUUUUUUCUCUCACCGUUGGUGUCCGUGCCGUUCAGUUGCCCGCCAUGGCUGAGCUGGAUCCGUUCGGCGCCCCUGCCGGCGCCCCUGGCGGUCCCGCGCUGGGGAACGGAUUGGCCGGCGCCGGCGAAGAAGACCCUGCCGCGGCCUUCUUGGCGCAGCAAGAGAGCGAGAUUGCGGGCAUCGAGAACGACGAGGCCUUCGCCAUCCUGGACGGCGGCACCCCCGGGCCCCAGCCGCACGGCGAGCCGCCGGGGGGUCCGGAUGCUGUUGAUGGAGUAAUGAAUGGUGAAUACUACCAGGAAAGUAAUGGUCCAACAGACAGUUAUGCAGCAAUUUCACAAGUGGAUCGAUUGCAGUCAGAGCCUGAAAGUAUCCGUAAAUGGAGAGAAGAACAAAUGGAACGCUUGGAAGCCCUUGAUGCCAAUUCUCGGAAGCAAGAAGCAGAGUGGAAAGAAAAGGCAAUAAAGGAGCUAGAAGAAUGGUAUGCAAGACAGGACGAGCAGCUACAGAAAACAAAAGCAAACAACAGGGAGAUGGAAGGGAGUCAAGGAUGUUGCCAUGUAUGUGCCAUCUCUGCCCUAAGCCAAUAUCAUGAAGAAAUCAACAAGAGGUGGAAUAAACUGAGCAAUUCAUCACCGUAUUAAGCUGGAUAUUCCUGUUUAGUAAAUAUCUUUCCCUAGCUGGUCAGUGCUGCCUCCUCCCUCCCUUUCAUGGCAUUGAAUGGUGAGAGUGCAAUACCCUCAGCGGCGCCUAAGAGUCAGCAGUGAGCGCUCAGGACCGUCACCCACCUCUGCGACCGAUGACCCUCUCUUUGGCUCUGGCCCCAGCCGGCCUUGCGCUGUUCCUUCUCAAGGUUUUUCCUGGCUCAUCUUUGUGCCCCCUCCCCUGAGGGUCCUGGAGGUCUGAGCCCUCUGGCCGCCUCUCCUCUCUCCUUGCACUCCUCCUCUCAUGGAGCGACCCCGUCUGUGCCACCUUCUCACCUUCCAUGUCACACACCUUCAGCCUUCACUGAGGAGAGAGCAGGGCUGCAGCAUCGUGUUCCAGUCUUAUCCCUCACGGAGCCGAGAACUAAAAAUUGAAACAGAGAAACCUCCUGACAAGGCCGCUGGCAAGUUCAAUGGGAACAACUCAGGUUUUCAGAAAGAAGUGUGAUCCCUGGAGCCAGCGGGUUCAAAAGAACGAAGAGAUUUAUCAAGAAUGAGACAUACCAGACCAGCUGCGUUGCUUUCCAUUGACAGGAAGCAAAUCAGCUGCUCAGGAAAAGGUCAAGCAUGGCACCUGGUCUCAGAGAGGUGUCCGUCAAAGGCUGUCAUAACAGCCCUAUGGACAAGAAGGAGACCUGGGCCAGGAUCUCCAUGAACUGUCCUAAAAUUUCCAAGAGAAGAAGACAUCCGUCAAGUAGAAGACAAAAAGGGAUGCUGACCAGGGAGGCCGGAUGCUGGAUGUGGUCUAGGAGGAAGCCUUGGAAUUUUCUCACUCUGGAUUGUGGAACCACAAAGUCAGCCUGGAGCUGCCUACAUCUGGACACCUAGGCUCCUGUCAGAGCCAGUUUAUUAUUUCCAGUCACUCAUUACUGGGAUUCUCCUCUCCCUGGGGCGUUAUGAAGGGCUUCAUUCAAAUGCUGCCUCUUCCAUGAAGUCUUCCUUGAUCCCUCUAAUUAGAAGUUACCAAGUGACUUGCCUUGUCCUGUAAAGAUCUGCAGUGAGAUGACGCAGGACACAGGAAUUAAAAGAAAUUAAAGAGGCCGGGCGCAGUGGCUCACGCCUGUAAUCCCAGUAAUUUGGGAGGCCAAGGCGGGCGGAUCACCUGAGGUCCGGAGUUCAAGACCAGCUUGACCAACAUAGAGAAACCCUGUCUCUACUAAAAAUACAAAAAAUUAGCCAGGCGUGGUGGUGCAUGCCUGUAAUCCCAGCUACUCCAGAGGCUGAGGCAGGAGAAUGGCUUGAACCUGGGAGGCGGAGGUUGCUGUGAGCCGAGAUCGCACCUUUGCACUCCAGCCUGGGCAACAAGAGCGAAACUCCGUCUCAAAAGAAAAAAAAAAGAAAUUAAAGAAUGUGUAAGCAAAAACUCAGUUGUAUGUAAGAAAACCCAAUUCUCCCUGAGAAAGAAAAAAAGCUAAAGUCCUUUAAAAAUUGACUGCCUGUUUUUCUGUGGCUAGUGAGCCGUAUCUCUCCCUUUCCCAGGCAUUGUGAAGACUCUGUUUCUCUAGCAGUGUAGCUGCAAGGUCACUAGGCAGAUAAUCUCAAGUCGCAAAACAUGUUGUUCCUUGGAAAGUAAGAAAUGAUGUAAUGCAUGUCUUAAUUAAAUAACUGUCUUUGUUUCUUGCUUCUGUAAUAUGCUUCCCCCUGCACAGAUCUCCCCCCGCCCCACAAAAUGCUUAAAAGGUAGCUUGACUCUUUGUUCAUGGCUCAGUCCUUUGGAUGUUAAUCCGACUGGGUCGGUGCACCUAAAUAAUUAAAUAAUUCCUCCUCAA
Molecule: RNA transcript, 2593 nt
Organism: Pan troglodytes (chimpanzee)
Lineage: Eukaryota; Metazoa; Chordata; Mammalia; Primates; Hominidae
Gene: CLTA
Gene name: clathrin light chain A
Exons: 10
Source: RefSeq, a predicted model, not a curated record